CACCCGUGAGCUACCACAGUCCA
Molecule: non-coding RNA, 23 nt
Filed under: Arabidopsis thaliana (thale cress)
Lineage: Eukaryota; Viridiplantae; Streptophyta; Magnoliopsida; Brassicales; Brassicaceae
Source: RNAcentral